CAACACUCAAGCCUAGCUUGGUAUUGAACCACGUCCGCAAGGACCGGUUUUAAAAUCAGUGGCGGCGCCAUCUGGCUCUAAGCGUAGUAAUACUCCUCGCUUUUGGGUCCUGAUGGAUGCUGGCCAGCAACCCCCAACUUUCUAA
RNAcentral lists this unclassified non-coding RNA (145 nucleotides) under uncultured Infundichalara. RNAcentral's name for it is "sequence contains ITS2". The record is from RNAcentral. Lineage: Eukaryota; Fungi; Ascomycota; Leotiomycetes; Helotiales.